GUGCCAGCCGCCGCGGUAAUACGUAGGGUGCGAGCGUUAAUCGGAAUUACUGGGCGUAAAGCGUGCGCAGGCGGUUUCGUAAGUCAGGCGUGAAAUCCCCGGGCUCAACCUGGGAACUGCGUUUGAAACUACCAGGCUAGAGUAUGGCAGAGGGGGGUGGAAUUCCACGUGUAGCAGUGAAAUGCGUAGAGAUGUGGAGGAACACCAAUGGCGAAGGCAGCCCCCUGGGCCAAUACUGACGCUCAUGCACGAAAGCGUGGGGAGCAAAAAGGAUUAGAUACCCCGGUAGUCCACGCCCUAA
Molecule: ribosomal RNA, 301 nt
Filed under: uncultured bacterium
Lineage: Bacteria
Description: bacterial SSU rRNA
Rfam family: Bacterial small subunit ribosomal RNA
Source: RNAcentral